This is an RNA transcript of Humulus lupulus (European hop), 1752 nucleotides long. RefSeq lists it as uncharacterized. The transcript is spliced from 9 exons. The record is from RefSeq and is a predicted model, not a curated record. Lineage: Eukaryota; Viridiplantae; Streptophyta; Magnoliopsida; Rosales; Cannabaceae.
UAACAAAUCAUUUUCUUCCUCCCUCCCUACCCGAUCCAGUUUCCUUUCUCCCUCUCUCUCUCGCAUGCUCUCUGCUAGCCCGAACGGCUGCCCUCCGAUGGUCGCCGCCGUGUAGACACCGGAUCAAGAGUACCAGCCACCGCCGAAACUCCAGCCUCGCGAGCCCUUCGUUGCCGUUCUCCGCCGUGAGAAGAAGCCUCCAGGCUCGUACGUUGCCGCCGUGGCUUCAAGGCCAAUUUCUGGCUUCCUCUGUCAUCGUCUCAGGCAAAGGGUAGCAUGGGUGAACUCAGGGUAUCAAGAAGAACAAAGCCCAGCCAAGGAUCGGGCUUUUAAGUGACCGGAGGAGACGGAAUCAACUCUCCAUUUGCUGCUCGUAGUCUUCUUCUCGAGUUUAUAAUGGAUAUGAAAUUAGGGAAGUUCACAUUGAUUUCUGUUACAAAGGAGCCUACUCAGAUGGACAUUGUGGUUCACCUUCACCACCGCCAGUGUAUGAAGAUCGAUUGUUUUCUUCAGAGGCUUAUGUUCCUGAAUUUAAGCAGGGCAAGAAAGCUGUGUCAGUGCCAUUUCCUGGUCUAUCAGAAUAUUUGAGACCUGAAACUCUAGAAGAGGGUGGUGAUUUAUGGCUUGUUUGGAUAUUCAGAUGGAUGUAAAGAAUCAAUAUUAUGCAACUAUAUGGGUGCUCAAGAUAUGCAUUUUCGAGAAAAUGAGCAAUUAUGGAGAGUUUAGACGGUUUACAACUUGGAAACAAAGGGACCAAAUUGUUGACUUUUAAUUGCCAUAUGAGAUUUUUGGGGCUAUGCAACAAAACUAAAACUUGCAAAAAAAAGGAGGGAGGAGUUAUAGAUAGAAGCCAAGACAUUGCUCUUUUGCAAGAUUUCUACAAACUCUAUCGAGAGCAGAAUGACGUGGAAAUGUUACGAGAAGAAGAGUUGAAUUUAAGGGAGACUGGGGCUUUCAGUGGAGACUUGGGCGAAUGAAGUCCAUGGCUGGCACCCAAGCUUAGCCUUGGCCCCAAAAGUUGAAGAAGAAAGCUUAGAACUGUUUGUUCAUUUCAAGAAAACCACUGUUUCGUUGGGAAAAUGUGAUACACCAAUUGGAUCUCAUGACUGAUUUGCUUGGCACACCACCCUCCCCAGCCGAAUCCACUGGAAGGUUAUUGCAUGGGAAGAAAAGUAAAGCAGGAGGUCCCUGAAGAUUGGGUCUGUGAAUCAUGCCAAAGUGUAAGUGACUCAGUUUUGAUGGAAUCUGGGAAGAGAGAUGAAGCUGUCACAAUAGCAAUGAGCAAGGGGCAAUUGUCAAUUUCACAGCUUCAUUCCAAGAAGAAAAAGCCAGUAGAAACUGGUAAAGUUAAGUUCAUUCCUCAUGAAGAAAUACUUGAAAGAAAUCCUUAAUAAUAAUAAAAAAUUGUGAUGCUGUGAAAUCAUUCCUUGCUUGAAAAGAAAAAUGCUCAGGCAUUUUUUUUUUGGUGUAGCACUCCUUGCUUUAAGGAAUACUCAAUGCUUCUUUGUGACUGGCACUUGUGGUUGUAGUUUUGAUAGUUUUUCAUGAGGGCCUCUGUGCUGUCUUUGUUUGUAGUUUUAUGUCUUAUAUGUACUAUCUUAGUCUGAGGCUGUCUAGACUGUAAUACAGCACGGGUGAUUUCUUAUCAUUUUUUUUAAUACAAUCUUGUAUGGUUGGGAUUGAAAUGAUAGUGUUUAUGUGAGAAUAGAAAUAGAAUGGGAAAGAAAUAUCAAUUCUUUUGUUUGGUUGAAA